This 406-nucleotide ribosomal RNA is filed under the name Roseibium album. RNAcentral describes it as "bacterial SSU rRNA". It matches the Rfam family "Bacterial small subunit ribosomal RNA", at positions 1 to 440 of the family's 1533-position model. Lineage: Bacteria; Pseudomonadati; Pseudomonadota; Alphaproteobacteria; Hyphomicrobiales; Stappiaceae. The record is from RNAcentral.
UAGAGUUUGAUCCUGGCUCAGAACGAACGCUGGCGGCAGGCUUAACACAUGCAAGUCGAACGAUCCCUUCGGGGAUAGUGGCAGACGGGUGAGUAACGCGUGGGAACCUACCUUUAGGUACGGAACAACAGUUGGAAACGACUGCUAAUACCGUAUGAGCCCUAUGGGGGAAAGAUUUAUCGCCUAAGGAUGGGCCCGCGUUGGAUUAGCUAGUUGGUGGGGUAAUGGCCUACCAAGGCGACGAUCCAUAGCUGGUCUGAGAGGAUGAUCAGCCACACUGGGACUGAGACACGGCCCAGACUCCUACGGGAGGCAGCAGUGGGGAAUAUUGGACAAUGGGGGCAAGCCCUGAUCCAGCCAUGCCGCGUGAGUGAUGAAGGCCCUAGGGUUGUAAAGCUCUUUCAGC